GCAUGGGUGUCGUCAGCUUGUGUCGUAAGGUGCUGGAUUAAGUCUCACAACGAGCGCAACGCUCGUGUUUAUUUUCCACUAUGAGUUUGGAACCCUGAAUAGACCGCCGGUGUUAAGCCGGGGGAAGGAAAGUUGAAGGGUAUAAACAU
Molecule: non-coding RNA, 149 nt
Organism: Triticum urartu
Lineage: Eukaryota; Viridiplantae; Streptophyta; Magnoliopsida; Poales; Poaceae
Source: Rfam